UCACACAGAGUAGAACAGAUAUAGGGAAAAAUCCAUUCGCGAAGGCACUAGAGAAUUAAGAAUGCCAUGAUUUCUUCCCUUUUCCUUCACUUUAGUCUUCCAACAGUGCUUCCCUUGGUUGAAACCACAUGGUAACCAUUGAGCAGAAGAACCUAGGAAAUACAGUUUUCAGAACAGCAAGGAGAAAGCUGAAGAAUAAAAAAGGGGAAAGAGGGUUGCCAAUUAUAGUUGAUUUGACAUGAAUAUGAGUCUUCUGUUGCUUCCUAAAAACAAAUAGCACUCUCAAAACCAUUUCUAUCUUACACCUUCAGAGAAGCCAGCCUUCAUUAAAGACUGAAUGAAGUAAAAUAAAGACUUAACACAGACUGGCAAAUUGGAUAAAGAGUCAAGACCAAUCAGUGUGUUUUAUU
Molecule: long non-coding RNA, 410 nt
Filed under: Homo sapiens (human)
Lineage: Eukaryota; Metazoa; Chordata; Mammalia; Primates; Hominidae
Description: HSALNT0349143
Source: RNAcentral